This 358-nucleotide transfer-messenger RNA is filed under the name Anaerovoracaceae. RNAcentral's name for it is "Fimisoma sp002320005 Standard tmRNA". It matches the Rfam family "transfer-messenger RNA". From Rfam's summary of the family: Bacterial tmRNA, also known as 10Sa RNA or SsrA, is named for its dual tRNA and mRNA-like properties. Lineage: Bacteria; Bacillati; Bacillota; Clostridia; Peptostreptococcales. RNAcentral also lists the same sequence under 2 other names. The record is from RNAcentral.
GGGGGUGUAAAGGUUUCGACGGGGGUAUAGAAACAGGAUAAGCGAGCGGUAGUUUGCCGGUCUACCUAAAAAAGGGCACGUUAAAUAUAAACGCUAAAAAUAACAACAAUUUCGCAUUAGCUGCUUAGUUCAGCACCGCGCGUCGGUUUGAGUUCACCUGUAGGCUCAUUUUCCGGCGACGACUAUACAGGAAAACUCUGUGAGACUUCCCGGCAUCACAGGGGAACAACGGGAUAGCGGCGAUUUGAGCCUGUUAAUGGGCGCAAAUCAAAGCGAAACUUUAAAACAUUAACUGCGCUCGGAGAAAGUUCUGCGGAAAUGCUUUCGGACGCGAGUUCGACUCUCGCCAUCUCCACCA